AGAUGAGAUAGACCGUAACCUGGGAUGCUAAGUCUUGGUCUUGGUCUUGGCGCACCGUAAAAAAGGCAGAAUGUAAACAAAGAGAAGCGUCCACUGCCUCUAAAACCCGCCCCUUAAAAUACUGAAGAAGAAGAAGAAGGGGAUUUAAAGGGAUACAAGGAAGGAAAGAGACCAACCCCAAGCUGACCUGACUCGAGAGGAUGCUGCGUGACCUGACCUCAGUGCUGGUGGGGGGGUCGCGGGGCCUCCCUCCCCUCCUCUCCUUCCUCUUCAAGCUCGCCUGGGCCUCCCGCGUACGGCUGCCCUUAAUAAUCGCCGUCGGGUUCAUGGUGACCAACAUCCACCUGAGACUGGAGAUAAAUGUGAAUAUUGAGGUCGGCGAGGAUGAGGCAGCUGGCGGCGGAGGAGGAGGAGGAGGAGGAGGGCAGCGGGUGAAUGAGGAGGAGGAAGAGGAGACGGAGGAGGAGGUGGAGGUGUAAGGAGGAAGACGAAGGAAGAGGGAGAGAAGAAGAAAAAGGUGGUGGAGGUUUAGAGUAGUGGAAGAGGAAGGAGGAGGAGGAGGAGGAGGAGAGAAGAUUAUAGUGCAAAGGAAAAAUUUGGAAAAGGAAGAUGUUUAGAGGAGGAGGAGGAGAAGAUGUUGAGAAGAAAGAGAGGAAGAGAGAAGGAGGAGAUAAUAAUGGAGGAGGAAGAGAUGUAGAAGUGGAGAAGGACAAGUGUGAAAAUGUGGAAUUAGAAAGAAAUGGCGGAGGAGGAGGAGGAGGAGGAGGAAGAUAAGAAACAGUACAGAAAGAAACAAAAUAAGGAUGAAGAAGAAAACAGAAAAGAAGGAGAAGAAAACAAAAAGAAAUUAGAAGAAUGAAGAAAGAUGGAAAUUAAUUGUGGUGUGUGUGUGUGUGUGUGUGGAGAGAAAAGGAAAAAAAAAGAAAGAAAAGAAAGGAAAAGAAAAGAACGAAUGUGCUGGAAAAAUGAAGAAAAACAAGAAAAAAAGAAUUAUGUGUUGUAAAGAAGAAAAAGAAGUGUGUGCGUGUGACCUAACUGUGAUAAUAACUAAAAAAAACAAUAAGACAUUAACCUAACAUGACCUACAGCUGCAACCUCCCUGACCCCAAAACCCCAAGUGCAUAGUGACCUGACCCCAAGCCCGGCAUAGCACCCACCCCCCCCCCCCCCCCCCCAAGCCAAGCGAGUGUAAGGGUUCAGAACGCAUUAUCUGGGUCAUUAAACUCAAGUGUUCCCAGUCUCGUAAAUGUGAAAUGGUAUUGUUUAAAUGCUUUCCGAGAGAGGGUUGGAAUGUCCUCUGUUGACAUAUGUGGGUUUCAAUGCUUUAGCUAACUUACUAUAUAUAUAUACUGCCAUUUUUAUUAUUAUUAUUGUUAUUGUUUUGUUGGUAACUGUGACCCUGUUGCCGUUAGUCUAAGUUGGUCAAUGGUUGUGUUUCUCUUUCUAUCUACCUAUCUCUUUCAUCAUCGCUGUCAUAAUUUCCAUCCUUUGUUUAAUUCUCUUCUAUUCUCUUUCCCUUCCCUUUUUUCUAAUGGUCAUGGGGAUGGAAGGGAGGAAGAAUGGCAGGAAUUUAGGGAGAGGAAAGGGAAAGAAAGGGAGGGGAAGGGAAGGAACGAGAGGAAAGAAAUAGGAGUAGGAAGGGAGAGGGAGGAAGAAAUGGGAAGAGGGAAAGGAAAGGAACAAGAAGCAAAGAGGAAAGAAAUAGGAGUAGGAAGGGAGAGGGAGGAAGAAAUGGGAAGAGGGAAAGGAAAUAGAUAGGAAAGGAAAGGAACAAGAAGCAAAGAGGAAAGAAAUAGGAGUGGGAAGGGAGAGGGAGGAAGAAAUGGGAAGAGGGAAAGGAAAUAGAUAGGAAAGGAAAGGAACAAGAAGCAAAGGGGAAAGAAAUAGGAGUAGGAAGGGAGAGGGAGGAAGAAAUGGGAAGAGGGAAAGGAAAUACGUAGAUAGGAAAGGAAAGGAACAAGAAGCAAAGAGGAAAGGAGAGAGAGAAGAGGAAGGGGAUUCUUCGUGCUCUUUGGGGACUACUCUUGAAGGGGUGACUGCCAUAUUUAGAGGAGUGUUCAGCUUCCUUUCUAGAUUCUUGUUGUGGUUUUAUUUCAUGCUUUUUUAUUAAUCUAUUGUCAACACAUUUUCUACUUAUAUUGUUUCCUUCCUUAGGUUGUCUAUUUGUUGUUUAUCUGGUGUGGAUCUGUUAUUUCAGGCUCGCAAUGCCUCCUUUCUCGGCAUAUACUGCAUUUCACCCACCCACUGAUAUAAAGGCUUGGCUGUGUGUUGAUGAGGCUACUAAUACUGAUACCUGGACACACACCAAUCCUCGUAGACAGGGGGCUUCGUGGUGCAGUGGUUAGCACACUCGGCUCACAAUCGAGAGAGCCCGGGUUCGAUUCCCGGGCGAAGUGGAAAAAUUUGGACAGCUUUUCUGAUACCCUACGCCCCUGUCCACCCAGCAGUGAAUGGGUACCAGGUAUUAAUCAGGGGUUGUGUCCCGUCUCCUGGGAUCUGUUCCCUUCUCCUAUAAUUCCUUCCCCUUCUGUCUCUCUCUGGCAUAUGACCACAGAUGUUGCACCAACUAAACAAAACUUUCCAACUUUCCUUGUAGAUGACUGACUUCACACACCAAUCCUUGUAGACAGACUGAUUUCACACACCAAUCCUCAUAGACAGACUGACUUCACACACCAAUCCUUGUAGACAGACUGAUUUCACACACCAAUCCUUGUAGACAGACUGAUUUCACACACCAAUCCUUGUAGACAGACUGAUUUCACACACCAAUCCUCAUAGACAGACUGACUUCACACACCAAUCCUUGUAGACAGACUGAUUUCACACACCAAUCCUCAUAGACAGACUGACUUCACACACCAAUCCUAGUAGACAGACUGAUUUCACACACCAAUCCUUGUAGACAGACUGAUUUCACACACCAAUCCUCAUAGACAGACUGACUUCACACACCAAUCCUUGUAGACAGACUGAUUUCACACACCAAUCCUCAUAGACAGACUGACUUCACACACCAAUCCUUGUAGACAGACUGAUUUCACACACCAAUCCUUGUAGACAGACUGAUUUCACACACCAAUCCUCAUAGACAGACUGAUUUCACACACCAAUCCUCAUAGACAGACUGACUUCACACACCAAUCCUUGUAGACAGACUGAUUUCACACACAAAUCCUCAUAGACAGACUGACUUCACACACCAAUCCUCGUAGACAGACUGACUUCACACACCAAUCCUCAUAGACAGACUGACUUCACACACCAAUCCUCAUAGACAGACUGACUUCACACACCAAUCCUCGUAGACAGACUGACUUCACACACCAAUCCUCGUAGACAGACAUUUCACACACCAAUCCUCGUAGACAGACUGACUUCACACACCAAUCCUCGUAGACAGACUGACUUCACACACCAAUCCUCGUAGACAGACUGACUUCACACACCAAUCCUCAUAGACAGACUGACUUCACACACCAAUCCUCGUAGACAGACUGACUUCACACACCAAUCCUCAUAGACAGACUGACUUCACACA
Eriocheir sinensis (Chinese mitten crab) is the source of this 3541-nucleotide long non-coding RNA. RefSeq lists it as uncharacterized. The transcript has 3 exons. The record is from RefSeq and is a predicted model, not a curated record. Lineage: Eukaryota; Metazoa; Arthropoda; Malacostraca; Decapoda; Varunidae.